UAGGGAAUCUUCGGCAAUGGGGGCAACCCUGACCGAGCAACGCCGCGUGAGUGAAGAAGGUUUUCGGAUCGUAAAGCUCUGUUGUAAGAGAAGAACGUGUGUGAGAGUGGAAAGUUCACACAGUGACGGUAACUUACCAGAAAGGGACGGCUAACUACGUGCCAGCAGCCGCGGUAAUACGUAGGUCCCGAGCGUUGUCCGGAUUUAUUGGGCGUAAAGCGAGCGCAGGCGGUUUAAUAAGUCUGAAGUUAAAGGCAGUGGCUUAACCAUUGUUCACUUUGGAAACUUUUAACCUUGAGUGCAGAAUGGGAGAGUGGAAUUCCAUGUGGAGCGGUGAAAUGCGUAGAUAUAUGGAGGAACACCGGUGGCGAAAGCGGCUCUCUGGUCUGUAACUGACGCUGAGGCUCGAAAGCGUGGGGAGCAAACAGG
RNAcentral lists this ribosomal RNA (429 nucleotides) under bacterium. RNAcentral describes it as "partial 16S ribosomal RNA". It matches the Rfam family "Bacterial small subunit ribosomal RNA", at positions 355 to 776 of the family's 1533-position model. The record is from RNAcentral.